Molecule: ribosomal RNA, 959 nt
Filed under: uncultured bacterium
Lineage: Bacteria
Description: bacterial SSU rRNA
Rfam family: Bacterial small subunit ribosomal RNA
Source: RNAcentral
CCGCGAAUUCGCCCUUGGAUCCAGACUUUGAUUCUGGCUCAGGACUGAACGUCUAGCUACAGGCUUAACACAUGCCAAGUCGAGGGGAAACGACAUCGUAAAGCUUGCUUUUGAUGGGCGUCGACCGGCGCACGGGUGAGUAACGCGUAUCCCACCUGCCCACGACUCGGGGCAUAACCUUGCGAAAGUAAGACUAAUACCCAAUGAUAUCUGCUAGAAGACAUCUGAAAGAGAUUAGAGAUUUAUCGGUGAUGGAUGGGGAUGCGUAUGAUUAGCUUGUUGGCGGGGUAACGGCCCACCAAGGCAACGAUCAGUAGGGGUUCUGAGAGGAAGGUCCCCCCACAUCGGAACUGAGACACGGUCCAAACUCCUACGGGAGGCAGCAGUGAGGAAUAUUGGUCAAUGGACGAGAGUCUGAACCAGCCAAGUAGCGUGCAGGAUGACGGCCCUAUGGGUUGUAAACUGCUUUUAUAAGGGAAUAAAGUGAGUCUCGUGAGACUUUUUGCAUGUACCUUAUGAAUAAGGACCGGCUAAUUCCGUGCCAGCAGCCGCGGUAAUACGGAAGGUCCGGGCGUUAUCCGGAUUUAUUGGGUUUAAAGGGAGCGUAGGCCGGAGAUUAAGCGUGUUGUGAAAUGUAGACGCUCAACGUCUGCACUGCAGCGCGAACUGGUUUCCUUGAGUACGCACAAAGUGGGCGGAAUUCGUGGUGUAGCGGUGAAAUGCUUAGAUAUCACGAAGAACUCCGAUUGCUGAAGGCAGCUCACUGGGAGCGCAACUGACUGCUGAAGCUCAGAAAGUGCGGGUAUCGAACAGGAUUAGAUACCCUGGUAGUCCGCACGGUCAAACGAUGGAUGGCCCGCUGUUGGUCUGCAAUACGGUCAGCGGUCCAAGCUGAAAGCAUUAAGCAUCCCACCUGGGGAGUACGUCCGGCAACGGUGAAACUCAAAUGAAUUGAUCGG